UGGGGAAUAUUGGACAAUGGGCGAAAGCCUGAUCCAGCCAUGCCGCGUGUGUGAAGAAGGUCUUCGGAUUGUAAAGCACUUUAAGUUGGGAGGAAGGGCAGUAAGCGAAUACCUUGCUGUUUUGACGUUACCGACAGAAUAAGCACCGGCUAACUCUGUGCCAGCAGCCGCGGUAAUACAGAGGGUGCAAGCGUUAAUCGGAAUUACUGGGCGUAAAGCGCGCGUAGGUGGUUCGUUAAGUUGAAUGUGAAAGCCCCGGGCUCAACCUGGGAACUGCAUCCAAAACUGGCGGGCUAGAGUAGGGCAGAGGGUGGUGGAAUUUCCUGUGUAGCGGUGAAAUGCGUAGAUAUAGGAAGGAACACCAGUGGCGAAGGCGACCACCUGGGCUCAUACUGACACUGAGGUACGAAAGCAUGGGGAGCAAACAGG
Molecule: ribosomal RNA, 429 nt
Filed under: Pseudomonadota bacterium
Lineage: Bacteria; Pseudomonadati; Pseudomonadota
Description: Proteobacteria bacterium partial 16S ribosomal RNA
Rfam family: Bacterial small subunit ribosomal RNA
Source: RNAcentral